This 840-nucleotide small RNA is filed under the name Didymella sp. 1 NV-2015. RNAcentral's name for it is "eukaryotic LSU rRNA". It matches the Rfam family "Eukaryotic large subunit ribosomal RNA", at positions 50 to 908 of the family's 3401-position model. The record is from RNAcentral. Lineage: Eukaryota; Fungi; Ascomycota; Dothideomycetes; Pleosporales; Didymellaceae.
GCGGAGGAAAAGAAACCAACAGGGAUUGCCCUAGUAACGGCGAGUGAAGCGGCAACAGCUCAAAUUUGAAAUCUGGCGUCUUUGGCGUCCGAGUUGUAAUUUGCAGAGGGCGCUUUGGCAUUGGCAGCGGUCCAAGUUCCUUGGAACAGGACGUCACAGAGGGUGAGAAUCCCGUACGUGGUCGCUAGCCUUUACCGUGUAAAGCCCCUUCGACGAGUCGAGUUGUUUGGGAAUGCAGCUCUAAAUGGGAGGUAAAUUUCUUCUAAAGCUAAAUACUGGCCAGAGACCGAUAGCGCACAAGUAGAGUGAUCGAAAGAUGAAAAGCACUUUGGAAAGAGAGUUAAAAAGCACGUGAAAUUGUUGAAAGGGAAGCGCUUGCAGCCAGACUUGCCUGUAGUUGCUCAUCCGGGUUUCUACCCGGUGCACUCUUCUAUAGGCAGGCCAGCAUCAGUUUGGGCGGUUGGAUAAAGGUCUCUGUCAUGUACCUCUCUUCGGGGAGAACUUAUAGGGGAGACGACAUGCAACCAGCCUGGACUGAGGUCCGCGCAUCUGCUAGGAUGCUGGCGUAAUGGCUGUAAGCGGCCCGUCUUGAAACACGGACCAAGGAGUCUAACAUCUAUGCGAGUGUUUGGGUGUCAAGCCCGAGCGCGUAAUGAAAGUGAACGGAGGUGGGAACCUUUCGGGGUGCACCAUCGACCGAUCCUGAUGUCUUCGGAUGGAUUUGAGUAAGAGCAUAGCUGUUGGGACCCGAAAGAUGGUGAACUAUGCUUGAAUAGGGUGAAGCCAGAGGAAACUCUGGUGGAGGCUCGCAGCGGUUCUGACGUGCAAAUCGAUCGUCAA